CCGAAGGUGCUCUCCCAAAGCGGACAAUAUCUACUGUUGUGGGCCCAGAGGAUGUUACAAUUGGUAUCAGAGCCUGGGCCUCAUGAGUACGGUGUGCUGAGCGAGGACGCUCAGGCCUUAUGGGGGGUAGAAGCCCUAUGAGGUGGAUUGAAAGUAUCCCACAUCGGAAAGAGGUAAGGAGGGGAGACGCCUUAUAAGGGCAAGCCCCAAGAGACCACAGUAGACGCGUUUUGAGGGGAAGGACGCUUGCGUGAACCCUCAGAAACAAAUCCGUGAG
RNAcentral lists this long non-coding RNA (277 nucleotides) under Manihot esculenta (cassava). Its description in RNAcentral is "long non-coding RNA (MESC_LNC012927)". The record is from RNAcentral. Lineage: Eukaryota; Viridiplantae; Streptophyta; Magnoliopsida; Malpighiales; Euphorbiaceae.